Molecule: ribosomal RNA, 916 nt
Filed under: uncultured archaeon
Lineage: Archaea
Description: partial 16S ribosomal RNA
Rfam family: Archaeal small subunit ribosomal RNA
Source: RNAcentral
UUCCGGUUGAUCCUGCCGGAGGCUACUGCUAUCGGGAUUCGAUUAAGCCAUGCGAGUCGAGAGGGUUCGGCCCUCGGCUGACGGCUCAGUAACACGUGGAUAACCUGCCCUCAGGUAGGGGAUAAUCUCGGGAAACUGAGGAUAAUACCCUAUAGAUAUCCUUUGCUGGAAUGCUUGGAUGUUCAAAGGCGACGCCUGAGGAUGGGUCUGCGGCCUAUCAGGUUGUAGUGGGUGUAAUGGACCCACUAGCCAGCGACGGGUACGGGCCUUGAAAGAGGUAGCCCGGAGAUGGACUCUGAGACACGAGUCCAGGCCCUACGGGGCGCAGCAGGCGCGAAAACUUCACACUGUGCGAAAGCGCGAUGAGGGAAUCCCAAGUGCUUGCUCGUAAGAGUAAGCUGUUUUUAUGUUUAAAACGCAUAGAGAGUAAGAGCUGGGUAAGACGGGCGCCAGCCGCCGCGGUAAUACCUGCAGCUCGAGUGGUGGCCGCUAUUAUUGGGCCUAAAACGUCCGUAGCCGGUUCAAUAAAUGCCUGGGUAAAUCGUGUAGCUCAACUAUACGAAUUCCGGGUAGACUGUUAAACUUGGGACUGGGAGAAGCUAGAGGUACUCCUGGGGUAGAGGUGAAAUUCUGUAAUCCUAGGGGGACCACCAGUGGCGAAGGCGUCUAGCUAAAACGGGUCUGACGGUGAGGGACGAAGCCCUGGGGCGCAAACCGGAUUAGAUACCCGGGUAGUCCAGGGUGUAAACGCUGCUUGCUUGAUGUUAGUCGGGCUCCGAGCCCGAUUAGUGUCGGAGAGAAGUUGUUAAGCAAGCUGCCUGGGAAGUACGGCCGCAAGACUGAAACUUAAAGGAAUUGGCGGGGGAGCACAGCAACGGGUGGAGCGUGCGGUUUAAUUGGAAUCAACGCCGUAAUC